AUUGAACGCUGGCGGCAUGCUUUACACAUGCAAGUCGAACGGCAGCGCGGGCUUCGGCCUGGCGGCGAGUGGCGAACGGGUGAGUAAUACAUCGGAACGUGCCCAGUAGUGGGGGAUAGCUCGGCGAAAGCCGGAUUAAUACCGCAUACGACCUGAGGGUGAAAGCGGGGGAUCUUCGGACCUCGCGCUAUUGGAGCGGCCGAUGGCAGAUUAGCUAGUUGGUGGGGUAAAGGCCUACCAAGGCGACGAUCUGUAGCUGGUCUGAGAGGAGGACCAGCCACACGGGAAGGGGACACGGGACCAGCCCCCGAGGGGAGGGCAGGGGGGGGAUGUUUGGACAGAGGGCGAAGGCCUGGACCAACGAGGCGGGGGGGGGGAGGAGGUCCUGGGGGUUGUAAAGCACUUUUGGCGGGAACGAAAAGAACCGUCCCAAUACCACGGUUGGAGACGGGAACCCGCGAAAAAGCCCCCGCCAAAUUAGGU
Molecule: ribosomal RNA, 483 nt
Filed under: uncultured bacterium
Lineage: Bacteria
Description: partial 16S ribosomal RNA
Rfam family: Bacterial small subunit ribosomal RNA
Source: RNAcentral